Molecule: transfer RNA, 82 nt
Filed under: Dreissena polymorpha
Lineage: Eukaryota; Metazoa; Mollusca; Bivalvia; Myida; Dreissenidae
Description: tRNA-Ser
Rfam family: tRNA
About the family: Transfer RNA (tRNA) molecules are approximately 80 nucleotides in length.
Source: RNAcentral
UUUGUCGUGGCCGAGCGGUUAAGGCGAUGGACUAGAAAUCUUUUGGGAUCUUCCCGCGCAGGUUCGAAUCCUGCCGACAUCG